AGCUCCAAUAGCGUAUAUUAAAGUUGUUGCGGUUAAAAAGCUCGUAGUUGGAUUUCUGCUUGGGGCAGCCACUGUACCCUCCGGGUCACAGAUGGUUAGGCCUGAGCAUCUUCUUGGGGACCGUGUCUGCACUUGAUUGUGUGGCACGGGUUCCAGGACUUUUACUUUGAGGAAAUUAGAGUGUUUCACGCAGGCGUCCGCCUUGAAUACGUUAGCAUGGAAUAAUGCGACAGGACCUCGGUCCAUUUUGUUGGUUUCUUGGGUUGAGGUAAUGAUUAACAGGGAUGGUUGGGGGCAUUCGUAUUUAACUGUCAGAGGUGAAAUUCUUGGAUUUGUUAAAGACGAUCUACUGCGAAAGCAUUUGCCAAGGAUGUUUUCA
Molecule: ribosomal RNA, 379 nt
Filed under: uncultured eukaryote
Lineage: Eukaryota
Description: SSU rRNA
Rfam family: Eukaryotic small subunit ribosomal RNA
Source: RNAcentral